Molecule: ribosomal RNA, 1892 nt
Filed under: freshwater bacterium LH6-2
Lineage: Bacteria
Description: bacterial LSU rRNA
Rfam family: Bacterial large subunit ribosomal RNA
Source: RNAcentral
GAAAGCGAAUAAGGGUGUAUGGUGGAUGCCUUGGAUCUGAUAGGCGAUGAAGGACGUGGUAAGCUGCGAUAAGCCGAGGGGAGCUGCAUACAAGCAUUAAAUCCUCGGAUCUCCGAAUGGGACAACCUAAUACAUUGAAGAUGUAUUAUUCCAAUGAAAGUUGGAAAGCUAACCUCCUGAACUGAAACAUCUAAGUAGGGAGUGGAAAAUAAAACAAACGUGAUUCCCCCAGUAGUGGCGAGCGAAAAGGGAGAAGCCCAAACUUGUCCGACGUGUCGGACGAGGGUUGUAGGACCACAUACGAUAAACAACAUCAAACGAAAUCUUCUGGAAAGUUGAGCCAUAGAGGGUGAAAGCCCCGUACGUGUAAAUUGUUGUGAGUCAGUGGAAUCCUGAGUAGCGCGGGACCAGAGAAAUCCUGUGUGAAUCUGCCGGUACCAUCCGGUAAGGCUAAAUACUCAUCAGAUACCGAUAGUGAACCAGUACCGUAAGGGAAAGGUGAAAAGUACUCCGAACAGGAGAGUGAAAUAGUACCUGAAACCGUACACCUACAAGCGGUCGAAGCCAUUUAUGGUGACGGCGUGCCUUUUGCAUAAUGAGCCUACGAGUUACUCCUCACUGGCAAGGUUAAGUUCUUAAAUAACGGAGCCGUAGCGAAAGCAAGUCCAAAUAGGGCGAAUAGUCAGUGGGGGUAGACGCGAAACUUUGUGAUCUAUCCAUGAGCAGGUUGAAGUCCCGUUAACCCGGGAUGGAGGACCGAACCCAUUAACGUUGAAAAGUUAUGGGAUGACUUGUGGAUAGGGGUGAAAGGCCAAUCAAACUGAGAGAUAGCUCGUUCUCCCCGAAAUGUUUUUAGGAACAGCCUCGGAUAUAGAAGUAUGAUAGAGGUAGAGCUACUGAUUGGGCUAGGGGGCUUCACCGCCUACCAAACCCUGACAAACUCCGAAUGCUAUCAUAUAUCUCCGGGAGUGAGGCUGCGGGCGCUAAGGUCCGUGGCCGAGAGGGAAAUAACCCAGAUUAGCAACUAAGGUCCCUAAUACAUAGUUAAGUUGAUCAAACGAGGUGGGAUUUCUAUAACAGCCAGGAUGUUGGCUUGGAAGCAGCCAUUCAUUUAAAGAGUGCGUAACAGCUCACUGGUCGAGAGAUCCUGCACGGAAAAUAAUCGGGCAUCAAACUAUGAACCGAAGUUCUAAACCUCUGCCUUUGGCAGAGUGUGGUAGGGGAGCAUUCAAAUCUGCAUCGAAGGUGUGGCGCGAGCCAUGCUGGAGCGAUUUGAAAAGAAAAUGUAGGCAUAAGUAACGAUAAUUAAAGUGAAAAACUUUAACGCGAAAAGUCUAAGGUUUCCUGAUCAACGUUAAUCGGAUCAGGGUUAGUCUGGUCCUUAGGAAAACCCGAAAGGGGUAUCUGAUGGAAAGAAGGUUAAUAUUCCUUCACCUGCUAUACAUUAAAAGUGACGCAGGGACGUGGUGGUUGCGUACAGACGGAUGUGCGCCUGAGUGGAGUCUUCGGACAAAGCGAAAUCAUAAAAUCCCUGCCAAGAAAAGCGAGUAUAGCAGCCAGUACCGGAAUCCGACACAGGUAGACGGGAUGAGUAUUCUAACGCGCUCGGGUGAGCCGUGGAGAAGGAACUAGGCAAAUUGACGCUGUAACUUCGGGAUAAAGCGUACCGUCUCUGACGGUCUCAGUAAAUUGGUUCAACCAACUGUUUAACAAAAACACAGGGCCCUGCAAAAACGUAAGUUGACGUAUAGAGCCUGAAACCUGCCCGGUGCUGGAAGGUUAAGGAAGGGUGUUCGGCGCAAGCCAAAGCUCCUGACUGAAGCCCCAGUAAACGGCGGCCGUAACUAUAACGGUCCUAAGGUAGCGAAAUUCCUUGUCGGGUAAGUUCCGAC